This 1245-nucleotide long non-coding RNA is filed under the name Homo sapiens (human). RNAcentral's name for it is "HSALNT0318439". Lineage: Eukaryota; Metazoa; Chordata; Mammalia; Primates; Hominidae. The record is from RNAcentral.
CUGAUGUGUCCUUCUUCCUCAGGUGAAAGUUCUCAGACUGAAAACAUCUAGAUAACCUCUAGCUAUGCUAAGCCACAGGCACUUUUAUAGGCCUAGAACCUAUUUCGUGUCUUUAAGGUGACUUGACAGAGUGUGGUUUUGUCCUCUUAUUUUUUGACAUAUUCUGCAACUCAGGAAACAGUCUUGUUUCCCUUUCUCUAUAGCACUCGAGGUGCAUCAGUCUGCUCCUCCCUUUGCCUCAAGGUCCCACAGUGGCAAGGGGAGAGGAGACCAGUCUGGGGGGUCUGCUUAUUAAGCCUUCAUUGCUGUCUACCCCAAGAAAACUCAGAGUCACUGUCUCCUAGGCACUUCUCAGGUAGAAAGAAAUCUUUCCUUACCCUCCAAAUCUGCUAUCCUUCAGGGAUGGAUUCUCGGGUACCUUCGACCAGCUCCCUGCUCUGUUCCAGCUUCCUGGGCAUAAAGGCAAAUAAUCCCAACGUGUUUGGCUUUGACUUUUUCUCAUGGCCUCCUUUCCCAGUGGGUGGCCAUAUAUAUUCAUUCACAUGUCCAAGGGGAUUCCUCCUUCCAUCCCCCGUUUAUUGAUGUUCUUGUCACAUCUCCCUUAGGAGCUUGUUGUGUCAGUCAAGGUCCCAGCAAGAAACAGAUGGCACACUUACACUUGGAUAAUGUGAAAUGAAUUUAAUAAAGGACUACUUACAAAGCUGGGAGCAGGGCUUAGGGAAACCACGAAGAAUAGUCAAAUGCCAGAGGACUAUGAAAUCUAGGUGCUAUUGUAGGCCUGAAAGAGUGGAGAGAGGGGAAAGAGAGCCAGAAGACUGCGGGGGCUAUGCGGAAGAAACAUAGGAUUCCUGGCUUUCAACAGAACUGGCCCAUGGAAACCCCACGGCAAUAGUAAUAAAUGCCACACCCUCACUCACUUCUCUCCUUCCAAUCUCCUGCUGAUGCACAACACUGGCCAUGUGCAGUUGGUAGUCAGUGGUCAAGGGAGCCCAAGAGUGUGGUUCAGGUUCAGCUUCCCCAGGGAAUAGCAGGGUGGACAAAGAUAGAGAGUGGAUUUGGAUAGGCAAAUAGAAUAAUCCAGUAAAAACACUGAAGGCUAGACUUUGUUGUUAAUACCUGUAUUUUUUGGUUUCCCAUCCCACACAUAGUAGGUUUGCAGCAGUUGACUUGGCCAUGGAUUUCUUUGGUGGCUUCCCCCUUUCCAGUGACCCUGGGAGGCAUACUGCCCCCUGCACUGUGGAAUCU